This 617-nucleotide long non-coding RNA is filed under the name Ananas comosus (pineapple). RNAcentral describes it as "long non-coding RNA (ACOM_LNC003577)". The record is from RNAcentral. Lineage: Eukaryota; Viridiplantae; Streptophyta; Magnoliopsida; Poales; Bromeliaceae.
AAGAAGCCUAGUAGCUUCUACUUAUAGUCAACACCUCAACAGUAGUGUACACUAUUCACAUCAGGCAGCUCGAAAUCUGAUAUCUUUCGCCGGAGCUCCCUGAAUAUCCGUUUGAGCUCAAAUCUGACAGUCAUAUUCGGUUUUACUUAAAGAGUCCAAACAAAUUUUAAUAUUUCAGUUUCGACCCCGUUUGGUCACCGAAAACUGUGCCGAACUGUAAUCUUUAUCAGAUGGCUUUCGGAUUUUAUUUCUCACUCUAUGGGUGUCAGAAAAAUAUGAAACUUUAAAUCUAGCCUCAUUAAAAUAUUUCUGACAUCCCCGCCAAUUUUCAUAAUUUUCUGAGACAGUGCCUUUUCUGCUAAUUUUUCUGUCCCGUUUCCAACAGAAAAUUCUAGAUCUUCUGUUUUCAUCCCGAUUUCAGCACAAGUCACUUCUGACUUAUGUUUUACUUCUCUAAAUCCAAUAAAAAUAGUAUCUCAUACUAUUUUUAUUUAUUCCCAUUUUUAUAUUUAAAAUCCGGUAUAUUACAUUCCACCGCAACCUCACCGGAACCAUUCAAAUGUACACCGUAACUUCAUUGUUUUAGAAGUCCGGUACCUUACACAAUCUCUUAAAUA